UGGAUCUUUCUGUGACAAAAAAAAAAGUGAGAGAGGUUAGAUACAAUAAGGUCAAAUUUCCUUCGUCCUCUCCGAUUUCGACGACUCGCGCAGCCCGGCGGCCGGUAGGAGGCGCUUUCUUUUGUCUGUCUGAUCCGGGUUUGCUGUCAUUCCCUGUUCAGGUCUUUGGUUCGCAAGAACGAUGUUGGGAGUCGUUAGGCAGAGGCUGGGAUGCGGAACCAUGUUGGGGCGAGCCGUCGAGAGGCUUGGCCCGGCUGCAUCUGUUGCAGGGAAGAAUUACUCGACUGCUGCUAAAGAGGUAA
This is a long non-coding RNA of Dendrobium catenatum, 302 nucleotides long. RefSeq lists it as uncharacterized. The transcript has 3 exons. NCBI's taxonomy places the organism in Eukaryota, Viridiplantae, Streptophyta, Magnoliopsida, Asparagales, Orchidaceae. The record is from RefSeq and is a predicted model, not a curated record.